Molecule: ribosomal RNA, 468 nt
Filed under: uncultured bacterium
Lineage: Bacteria
Description: partial 16S ribosomal RNA
Rfam family: Bacterial small subunit ribosomal RNA
Source: RNAcentral
GACGAACGCUGGCGGCGUGCUUAACACAUGCAAGUCGAACGGAAAGGCCCUGCUUUUGUGGGGUGCUCGAGUGGCGAACGGGUGAGUAACACGUGAGUAACCUGCCCUUGCCUUUGGGAUAACUUCCGGAAACUGGGGCUAAUACCGGAUAGGAGCUCCUGCUGCAUGGUGGGGGUUGGAAAGUUUCGGCGGUUGGGGAUGGACGCGCGGCAUAUCAGCUUGUUGGUGGGGUAGUGGCUUACCAAGGAUUUGACGGGUAGCCGGCCUGAGAGGGUGACCGGCCACAUUGGGACUGAGAUACGGGCCAGACUGCUACGGGAGGCAGCAGUGGAGAAUAGUGCACGAUGGGCGGAAGCCGUAUGCAGCAACGCCGCGUUCGGGAUGACGGCCUUCGGGUUGGAAACCGCUUUCGCCUGUGACGAAGCGGGAGUGACGGUAAUGGGUAAAGAAGCACCGGCUAACUACGUG